AGAUUGAACGCUGGCGGCAUGCUUUACACAUGCAAGUCGAGCGGCAGCGCGGGGCUCAGGCAACUGAGUUCUGGCGGCGAGCGGCGAACGGGUGAGUAACACAUCGGAACGUAUCCCGUAGAGGGGGAUAGCCCGGCGAAAGCCGGAUUAAUACCGCAUAUGCUCUACGGAGGAAAGUGGGGGACUCGCAAGGGCCUCACGCUAUGGGAGCGGCCGAUGGCCGAUUAGCUAGUUGGUGGGGUAAAGGCCUACCAAGGCGACGACGGGUA
This 269-nucleotide ribosomal RNA is filed under the name uncultured bacterium. RNAcentral's name for it is "partial small subunit ribosomal RNA". It matches the Rfam family "Bacterial small subunit ribosomal RNA", at positions 26 to 285 of the family's 1533-position model. The record is from RNAcentral.